ACGAACGCUGGCGGCACGCUUAACACAUGCAAGUCGAACGGCAAGGUAACUUCGGUUACCCUAGAGUGGCGGACGGGUGAGUAACGCGUGGGAACCUACCCUUUAGUUCGGGACAACCAUGGGAAACUAUGGCUAAUACCGAAUAUUCUCGAGAGAGGAAAGAUUUAUUGCUAAAGGAUGGGCCCGCGUAGGAUUAGGUAGUUGGUAGGGUAAUGGCCUACCAAGCCUGCGAUCUUUAGCUGGUCUGAGAGGAUGGCCAGCCACACUGGGACUGAGACACGGCCCAGACUCCUACGGGAGGCAGCAGUGGGGAAUAUUGGACAAUGGGGGAAACCCUGAUCCAGCGAUGCCGCGUGAGUGAAGAAGGCCUUCGGGUUGUAAAGCUCUUUCACCUGAGACGAUAAUGACGGUAUCAGGAGAAGAAGCACCGGCUAACUCUGU
RNAcentral lists this ribosomal RNA (441 nucleotides) under uncultured bacterium. RNAcentral's name for it is "bacterial SSU rRNA". It matches the Rfam family "Bacterial small subunit ribosomal RNA", at positions 29 to 506 of the family's 1533-position model. The record is from RNAcentral.